CCUACGGGUGGCAGCAGUGAGGAAUAUUGGUCAAUGGACGAGAGUCUGAACCAGCCAAGUAGCGUGAAGGAUGACUGCCCUAUGGGUUGUAAACUUCUUUUAUAUGGGGAUAAAACGUUCCACGUGUGGGAUUUUGUAUGUACCAUAUGAAUAAGGAUCGGCUAACUCCGUGCCAGCAGCCGCGGUAAUACGGAGGAUCCGGGCGUUAUCCGGAUUUAUUGGGUUUAAAGGGAGCGUAGGUGGCUUGUUAAGCUAGUUGUGAAAGGUUGCGGCUCAACCGUAAAAUUGCGGUGGAAACUGGCAGUCUUGAGUACAGUAGAGGUGGGCGGAAUUCGUGGUGUAGCGGUGAAAUGCUUAGAUAUCACGAAGAACUCCGAUUGCGAAGGCAGUAUACUGCACUGCAACUGACACUGAGGCUCGAAAGUGUGGGUAUCAAACAGGAUUAGAUACCCUGGUAGUC
This 460-nucleotide ribosomal RNA is filed under the name uncultured bacterium. Its description in RNAcentral is "partial 16S ribosomal RNA". It matches the Rfam family "Bacterial small subunit ribosomal RNA", at positions 338 to 795 of the family's 1533-position model. The record is from RNAcentral.